Molecule: ribosomal RNA, 350 nt
Filed under: uncultured bacterium
Lineage: Bacteria
Description: bacterial SSU rRNA
Rfam family: Bacterial small subunit ribosomal RNA
Source: RNAcentral
AGAGUUUGAUCAUGGCUCAGGAUGAACGCUAGCUACAGGCUUAACACAUGCAAGUCGAGGGGAAACGACAUCGAAAGCUUGCUUUUGAUGGGCGUCGACCGGCGCACGGGUGAGUAACGCGUAUCCAACCUGCCCACCACUUGGGGAUAACCUUGCGAAAGUAAGACUAAUACCCAAUGACGUCUCUAGAAGACAUCUGAAAGAGAUUAAAGAUUUAUCGGUGAUGGAUGGGGAUGCGUCUGAUUAGCUUGUUGGCGGGGUAAGGCCCACCAAGGCUACGAUCAGUAGGGGUUCUGAGAGGAAGUCCCCCGACAUUGGAACUGAGACACGGUCAAACUCCUACGGGAGCA